RNAcentral lists this ribosomal RNA (345 nucleotides) under Triticum aestivum (bread wheat). Its description in RNAcentral is "partial small subunit ribosomal RNA". The record is from RNAcentral. Lineage: Eukaryota; Viridiplantae; Streptophyta; Magnoliopsida; Poales; Poaceae.
AUGCCGAUCCAAUCUCUUCAGGUGCUCCGUAUUGCAGUUACAUAUUCCCCACACAGAUACUUCGCGUCCUGGUCUUCUGCACUUUUUUCACCGAAGGCUCAAGGAAAAGUGACGAUACAAAAGAUGAUGCUAGAGGCAACAAAGCCGAGGCUCAAGGAAAAGUACGUCGCAUGCGUGCAAGUCACCAUUGAAGCCGAGUUCCAAGGAGCAGAUCUGGCGGGCCACAAAGUUGUGUCUAUCUUGCGUAUCCAAGAUACUUAUUUGUACCUACAACGCGCCGAAGAUCAAGUUGUAGCAGCUAAAACCUCCCCUCUAAGGAGGCCUCUUUCAAAGCGCUGGUGGUAG